This 681-nucleotide ribosomal RNA is filed under the name Methanosarcina sp. enrichment culture clone D06. RNAcentral describes it as "bacterial SSU rRNA". It matches the Rfam family "Archaeal small subunit ribosomal RNA", at positions 61 to 741 of the family's 1478-position model. The record is from RNAcentral. Lineage: Archaea; Methanobacteriati; Methanobacteriota; Methanomicrobia; Methanosarcinales; Methanosarcinaceae.
UAUGUUCUUCGUGAACAUGGCGUACUGCUCAGUAACACGUGGAUAACCUGCCCUUGGGUCCGGCAUAACCCCGGGAAACUGGGGAUAAUUCCGGAUAACGCACAUAUGCUGGAAUGCUUUAUGCGUCAAAUGGAUUCGUCUGCCCAAGGAUGGGUCUGCGGCCUAUCAGGUAGUAGUGGGUGUAAUGUACCUACUAGCCGACGACGGGUACGGGUUGUGAGAGCAAGAGCCCGGAGAUGGAUUCUGAGACAUGAAUCCAGGCCCUACGGGGCGCAGCAGGCGCGAAAACUUUACAAUGCGGGAAACCGUGAUAAGGGGACACCGAGUGCCAGCAUCAUAUGCUGGCUGUCCGGGUGUGUAAAAUACACCUGUUAGCAAGGGCCGGGCAAGACCGGUGCCAGCCGCCGCGGUAACACCGGCGGCCCGAGUGGUGAUCGUGAUUAUUGGGUCUAAAGGGUCCGUAGCCGGUUUGGUCAGUCCUCCGGGAAAUCUGACGGCUUAACCGUUAGGCUUUCGGAGGAUACUGCCAGGCUUGGAACCGGGAGAGGUAAGAGGUACUACAGGGGUAGGAGUGAAAUCUUGUAAUCCCUGUGGGACCACCUGUGGCGAAGGCGUCUUACCAGAACGGGUUCGACGGUGAGGGACGAAAGCUGGGGGCACGAACCGGAUUAGAUACCCGGG